UGGGGAAUAUUGCACAAUGGGGGAAACCCUGAUGCAGCAACGCCGCGUGAGUGAAGAAGUAUUUCGGUACGUAAAGCUCUAUCAGCAGGGAAGAAAAAAGACGGUACCUGACUAAGAAGCCCCGGCUAACUACGUGCCAGCAGCCGCGGUAAUACGUAGGGGGCGAGCGUUAUCCGGAUUUACUGGGUGUAAAGGGAGCGUAGACGGCCAGACAAGUCUGAAGUGAAAGCCCGUGGCUCAACCGCGGAACGGCUUUGGAAACUGCCGGGCUGGAGUACUGGAGAGGCAAGCGGAAUUCCUAGUGUAGCGGUGAAAUGCGUAGAUAUUAGGAGGAACACCAGUGGCGAAGGCGGCUUGCUGGACAGAAACUGACGUUGAGGCUCGAAAGCGUGGGGAGCAAACAGG
Molecule: ribosomal RNA, 405 nt
Filed under: uncultured bacterium
Lineage: Bacteria
Description: bacterial SSU rRNA
Rfam family: Bacterial small subunit ribosomal RNA
Source: RNAcentral